UAUUUUGAUUAUAUCUUUGAAUAUAAUCUAUAGGAUUGUAUUAAAAUUGAAUAAAGCUUUGUUUAUAUAUUGAUAAUGACAGUAUAUAUAUCGUGUCUUGACUAAUUGCGUGCCAGCAGUCGCGGUAAUACGUAAGAGACUAGUGUUAUUCAUCUUAAUUAGGUUUAAAGGGUACCUAGACGGUCAAUAUAGCUUCUAGAAUGUUAGUACUUGACUAGAGUUUUAUGUAAGAGGGCAGUACUUGAGGAGGAGAGAUGAAAUUCUAUGAUACCAAAGGGACUCGGUAAAGGCGAAGGCAGCCCUCUAUGUAGAAACUGACGUUAAAGGACGAAGGCACAGAGCACAAACAGGAUUAGAUACCCAAGUAGUCUUUGCAGUAAAUGAUGAAUGCCAUAGGUUAGAUUAAGAUUUAAUAUUAUMAUYMUMAAUYAAAUAUUAAACAUGAUUUGGUCUAUAAAUGAMAGUGUAAGCAUUUCACCUCAAGAGUAAUGUGGCAACGCAGGAACUGAAAUCACUAGACCGUUUCUGACACCAGUAGUGAAGUAUGUUAUUUAAUUCGAUAAU
This 564-nucleotide ribosomal RNA is filed under the name Trichoderma virens. Its description in RNAcentral is "SSU rRNA". It matches the Rfam family "Bacterial small subunit ribosomal RNA", at positions 389 to 958 of the family's 1533-position model. The record is from RNAcentral. Lineage: Eukaryota; Fungi; Ascomycota; Sordariomycetes; Hypocreales; Hypocreaceae.